GGAGGAGGAGGAGGAGGAGGGGACGUGCCGUGCCGUGCCUUUUUGCCCUGGUUGCUCAGCUCGGCCGGGCCCCGCCCGCCGGGGAGAGCGCCGGGCCGCGCCGGGCGCCUGAGGAGAAAGGGGGCGGGCGACGCGUUUGAAAGUCACCAGCCGGGGAGCGGCAGCGCUGGGCCUCGCGCCUCGCUAACCGCUGGCGGGCGCGGCCGCCCCCUCGCUGCCGCCUGGGGCGAGGCGCCCGGGGCCGGGGCGAGCGGGCAACGGGGGCUCGCGACGGGGCGCUGCUGCUAGCGGGCGGUCCCUUAGCGAUCCUUCACCAGACGGGUGGGGAAGGUGGUUUUGCUGCCCAGUGAAAACCCGUCUGGAAAAUAAAAGUUUCUUUUUAGAAGAUUCAUUCACUCCAAAGUUGUGGGGUUUUUUGUUGUUUUUUUUUUUUCUUUAGUAGGCGAGUUGCUCGGGAGCUGCGAAACUUUUAUUCCAAUUGAUUAAAUGCCAGUUUCAUCAGAGCUGUUUACACCACCACGGAAUAAUGAAAGAGCAACGUUUUUAGCAUAGUGGAUGUGUGAAAAUGGGCCACUGUAAGACUGAAAAUAUGACCAGAUACCAAAGUACUAAUUAAGCUUCUUAAUUGGGAAAAAGAAUGUCUUUUUCAGAUGUUCGUUAACUCCUCACAUCUCUCAGAUAUGUGAAUGCAUAUAGGGCUGAAUGUUUGGGUUUUGGGGUUCCACAAGGUGGUAUGGCAUCUCAGUUGGCUAACACUGUUUCUUCUGUACAGACAAAGUCUUCACUCAAACACCAUCUUGCAACCAAACUCAUCUUGGAAGAGAUGAUUCCCCCCUCCCCCAAGAAAAGCUUGGGGGAGAAAUCCUGCCGGCUGUUUUCUGCUGAGUCACUCCGCUGGCUUAUCAAGAGCCUUUCACCAAUGCUGUAA
RNAcentral lists this long non-coding RNA (928 nucleotides) under Apteryx rowi (Okarito brown kiwi). RNAcentral's name for it is "lncRNA (ENSARWG00000005429.1)". Lineage: Eukaryota; Metazoa; Chordata; Aves; Apterygiformes; Apterygidae. The record is from RNAcentral.